RNAcentral lists this ribosomal RNA (305 nucleotides) under uncultured bacterium. RNAcentral's name for it is "bacterial SSU rRNA". It matches the Rfam family "Bacterial small subunit ribosomal RNA", at positions 337 to 640 of the family's 1533-position model. The record is from RNAcentral.
UCCUACGGGACGCAGCAGUGAGGAAUAUUGGUCAAUGGCCGGAAGGCUGAACCAGCCAAGCCGCGUGAAGGACGAAGGUGCCAAGCAUUGUAAACUUCUUUUGUCAAGGGACAAAAUCAGGCUCGAGAGCCUGACCGAGGGUACUUGAAGAAAAAGCAUCGGCUAACUCCGUGCCAGCAGCCGCGGUAAUACGGAGGAUGCGAGCGUUAUCCGGAUUUAUUGGGGUUAAAGGGUGCGUAGGCGGGCUGUUAAGUCAGCGGUAAAAGCACGGGGCUCAACCCGGGCGAGCCGUUGAAACAGGCUGG